Pteropus vampyrus (large flying fox) is the source of this 177-nucleotide non-coding RNA. The record is from Rfam. NCBI's taxonomy places the organism in Eukaryota, Metazoa, Chordata, Mammalia, Chiroptera, Pteropodidae.
CGGAUUAAAACAAAGGCACAGCAAAGUCCUCGUAGCAUCUUUAGGGAUUACGCGAGGACCAGAACUUUUAACACAAAUGUAAGAAAUUUUACCAAGGAAUCCCUUUACUUAACAGCAUCUCAUAAAGCUCCAAUCAGGUUCCAGAAAAGGCCUCUUAAGACAUCCAGGUAGAACCUA